ACACGGCAUCCCGGCAGCUGCGGCUGAGCCAGUGGGGGAAGGCACAUUUGCCAAGAGCUGGCGAGGAUUCUGGGAUGUGUGUGUUGAGUCAAUUGUCCCCUGCAGGUUUCCAGGGAGCUGGUUUGCAUGAGUAAGACCUCUGCCUCGGCCGCUCAGAAGCUAGAUGUCCAAACACACCAGGCAAUGGCUGGGUGCAGCUAAGUCACCAGACAGACCACAAGGCUGCAAGCCCGGCCCGGAGGGAUCCCGGCAGCUAAGACGGAGCCUCGCUUCCCAAACGCCAGGCCACGGUGGUGAGUUUUACUACAUUCAGUGCCCAAAAGGAGAGGGGAAGCAGCCCCUUGACUUUAGUGCUGCAUCAUUCAUUGGUGGGAUGCAGAGAGAGAGGCUCUCCAAGCUUUUGGGAAGAAAAUUCUAGAAACACGUUUCCCUGGAGAGGAGGCUCUGCCAGUGUCA
Long non-coding RNA from Globicephala melas (long-finned pilot whale), 456 nucleotides. RefSeq lists it as uncharacterized. Lineage: Eukaryota; Metazoa; Chordata; Mammalia; Artiodactyla; Delphinidae. The record is from RefSeq and is a predicted model, not a curated record.